RNAcentral lists this ribosomal RNA (440 nucleotides) under uncultured bacterium. Its description in RNAcentral is "partial 16S ribosomal RNA". It matches the Rfam family "Bacterial small subunit ribosomal RNA", at positions 338 to 795 of the family's 1533-position model. The record is from RNAcentral.
CCUACGGGAGGCAGCAGUGGGGAAUAUUGGACAAUGGGGGAAACCCUUAUCCAGCGACGCCGCGUGAGGGAAGAAGGUUUUCGGAUUGUAAACCUCUGUCAGCGGGGACGAAAAUGACGGUACCCACGCAGCAGUCCACGGCUACCUCCGUCCCAGCAGCCGCGGUAAUACGUAGGGGGCAAGCGUUGUCCGGAAUUAAUGGGUGUAAAGGGAGCGUAGGCGGGAGGUCAAGUCAGAAGUGAAAAUUAUGGGCUCAACUCAUAACCUGCUUUUGAAACUAAUAUUCUUGAGUGAAGUAGAGGCAAGCGGAAUUCCUGGUGUAGCGGUGAAAUGCGUAGAUAUUUGGAGGAACACCAGUGGCGAAGGCGGCUUGCUGGGCUUUUACUGACGCUGAGGCUCGAAAGCGUGGGGAGCAAACAGGAUUAGAUACCCUAGUAGUC